This 196-nucleotide unclassified non-coding RNA is filed under the name uncultured Polyporales. Its description in RNAcentral is "sequence contains ITS1". The record is from RNAcentral. Lineage: Eukaryota; Fungi; Basidiomycota; Agaricomycetes; Polyporales.
UCGAGUUUUGACUGGGUUGUAGCUGGCCUUCCGAGGCAUGUGCACGCCCUGCUCAUCCACUCUACACCUGUGCACUUACUGUGGGUUUCAGAUGGCGUAGUGAGCCUUUACGGGCUUGUGAAAGCAUCUGUGCCUGCGUUUAUUAUAAACUCUUAUAAGUAACAGAAUGUGUAUUGCGAUGUAACGCAUCUAUAUA